Molecule: ribosomal RNA, 497 nt
Filed under: uncultured bacterium
Lineage: Bacteria
Description: partial 16S ribosomal RNA
Rfam family: Bacterial small subunit ribosomal RNA
Source: RNAcentral
GAUGAACGCUGGCGGCGUGCCUAAUACAUGCAAGUCGAGCGAACAGACGAGGAGCUUGCUCCUCUGACGUUAGCGGCGGACGGGUGAGUAACACGUGGAUAACCUACCUAUCAGACUGAGAUAACUUCGGGAAACCGGCGCUAAUCCCGGAUAAUAUCUUGAACCGCAUGGUUCAAUAGUGAAAGACGGUUUUGCUGUCACUUAUAGAUGGAUCCGCGCCGCAUUAGCUAGUUGGUAAGGUAACGGCUUACCAAGGCAACGAUGCGUAGCCGACCUGAGAGGGGGAUCGGCCACACUGGAACUUGGCCACGGUCCAGACGCCUACGGGAGGCAGCAGUAGGGAAUCUUCCGCAGUGGGCGAAAGCCUGACGGAGCAACGCCGCGUGAGUGAUGAAGGUCUUCGGAUCGUAAAACUCUGUUAUUAGGGAAGAACAAAUGUGUAAGUAACUAUGCACGUCUUGACGGUACCUAAUCAGAAAGCCACGGCUAACUACGUG